RNAcentral lists this ribosomal RNA (3252 nucleotides) under Triticum aestivum (bread wheat). Its description in RNAcentral is "partial small subunit ribosomal RNA". Lineage: Eukaryota; Viridiplantae; Streptophyta; Magnoliopsida; Poales; Poaceae. The record is from RNAcentral.
AUGCCGGCCGGCACGCUGCUGGUGGUUGGUGGGUGGGUAUUCUCGCCGAUCAUCAAGGAGCUCAUCGGCGAGGUGAGAUCCUUGCUGAACAGCAAGUACUCGAGCUUCAAACAUUUGGCCAAGCACCUCCGUCAGCUUGUUGAUGUCCUGGAGGACAUGACCACGACCGUCGAGACCGUGCAGCAGCAGGGUCAACGGCGGCGCGCCGACGACGACGUCUCCGCCGGCGGCGGGACGGACAACUGGGUGGGCCGGCUCGUGGACGCCAUCCACGACGUGCGGUCCGUCCUGGACGACUUCACCUACGACGACAUCGUCAAGUCCAACUUGCGCGACAACAAGGUCGCUCAGGUUGCUCACUCCGUGGCGAGGGCCGGCCGACGGCUGAUCGGCAGGGACAAGGCGUUCAAUCGGCUCAAGGAACUCCUGGACGAGCUACCGCUAAUCCAGCAGAGCUUGCGGAAUCUCGUCAACCUCAAGAUCCACGCCGGCAGCAGCCGGGGCCGAGGAUACUCGCGCUCCGUGUCACGACGGGCGACUGGCCCGCUGCUACCGGCGGCGCCGGGCCGAGAACUAUUCGUGGGGUACGAGCGGGAGUAUGGCCGGCUCGUCUCGGCUUUACUCGACGUCAGCGACGAGCCCAGCAGCAGCAGCAGCAACAAGAAUGUCGUGGCGGUCAUCGGCCACAGCGGCACCGGGAAGACCACGAUCGCUCGGCGGGCAUGGCAUGACAAGAGCAUCAACAACAAGCACUUCGAUCUGAUGGUGUGGGCGAGCGUUCCAUACAUGUUCACCCAGACCGAGCUGUUGACCGAGAUCUGGAGGUCCAUCCCCGGAUCAAGCUGCGUGGACGAGAAAUGCGCCGCCGCGGAGAUGAGCUUCGGCGUGCUACAGCAGGCGGUCCGCUGGCUGGUCGGCUCCAGGAGGUACCUGCUCGUGCUCGACGACGUGUGCAACGACGAGUCCGGCCAUGGCCGGACGGAGAUGAUGAUGAGGAGAACUUGGGAGGACGUGCUAGCUCCGUUCCGAAACGGAGGCAACGGAAGCAGGAUCCUGAUGACGUGCCGAGCUACCAUCUGCGCCAAGGUACUCGAUGCCGGCACCAAUAUCCCGCUGAAUGGGCUCGGCGCCGAUGACCUCGUCCUGGUGCUCAAGAAAACCGCCUUCGGUGACGCCCAUAAAGAAACUCCGGAUAUCGACGGUGUGAUCAGGAGUGUCGCGGAGCAGCUGAGGGGCUCGCCAUCGACGGCGAAAACUAUCGUCCACAUGGUGAGGAACAAACAACGGAAGAAAGACUGGAAGAAACUAUUGGAGAAGGUAGGAUCAUGGUACUACGGCGCCGGCCUCGCCGGCGAGGCUAGUCUUGCCGGCGCCGUCGACGCGUCCAGCUACAGGAAUCUGCCGCAGCACCUGCGGUCUUGCUUGGGAUUCUGCAGCAUGUUCCCCGACAAAUGGGAGUUCGAACCUGAAACGUUGGUCAAGAUGUGGAUUGCACAUGGCAUCAUCCGCGGCGGCGACGGUGAUCGCAGCCAGAGCAUGGAGGAUGUGGGGAGAGAAUGCGCCAGAGAGCUGCAGGCAAGGUCCAUGCUCAAAACCACCUCCAAGGAUGGCAGCGGGACCUGCUUUGUCAUCCAAGAGCAGGUCCAUUCGAUGCUCCAGGCGUCCGAGUUCUUCAGGUUGAGCAACGAUGAUCUUAACAGAAGAAGAAGUCGUUGCAUCCCACCAAGUGUUCGACACCUAUCGCUGACCGGUGGAGGUUGUCUGGCCCUAGCACAGCUCAAGGAUAACCCUGUGCUGAAGAAGCUGCGGACACUGUUAAUUUUCGAUGAUGGCCACUCAAGCUCGGGCACUAAUGUUUCCGCCAUUGACAACCAUGUACUGAAGCAGCUCAAGGCCGUUAGAGUGCUCGACUUUGCCGGCACACGCAUCACCGAGUUGCCGAAAGACGUUGGCAAGCUGAAGCAUCUGCGGUACCUAGGUCUGCCCGACUCUGUCAGGAGCCUUCCUGCUACUGUUACCAAGCUGCUGCACCUACAGACGCUGUCUCUCGGCAAAGACUGCAAGCUUGAUGACGACCAUGGGUUCCCGGGUGAUGGCAUGAGCAACUUGGUGAACCUGCGGCACCUCGACAUGGACAUGAAGUACGUUGCCAUGAUACGUCGCAUCGGGAGGCUGGAGAGACUCCAGGGGUCCGUCGAGUUCUGUGCCGACAGGGGAAAGGGCCAUGGCAUGGAAGAGCUUGCAGGCAUCGACUUCCUCCACGGCACGCUCACCGUGAAGGGGCUUCAGGCCGUCGCCGGCAAAGAAGAAGCUCAGAAGGCUCAGCUUGCGAAUAAAGAAUCUCUCAAGGCCCUGAAGCUGGAAUGGGAGCUCCCCAAGCUGGGGGCACGAACUUGCUCCACCUCCACGGACUCACAGGAGCAAGUCCUGGAGGGGCUCCAACCAAAUGGUAGGAUCGAGGAGCUGCAAAUCCAGAGGUACUUGGGCACAUCGUCGCCUAGCUGGCUGGGGAGCAACCUGCUGGCAAGCCUGAGCCGACUGCAUCUCAUAAACUGCAGGAAGUGGCGGGCGCUGCCAUGCCUGAGCCAGCUGCCUGACCUCAGAGUCCUGCACAUCAAAGAGAUGUACGCCAUUGAUCGGAUCGACGACGGGCUCUACGGCGCCGGCAUGCUCCGGUCGCUGGAGAAACUCGUGCUGGAUGACAUGCCCAAUUUGGUCGAGUGGAGCGCGGAUUUGACUGACGAAAAAUUUCCUCGCCUCCAGGAUGUACUCAUCCUCAACUGCCCUAGACUGGCGAAGCUGCCCCGUGUGCCGGCCACCGUGAAGAAGAUGAGGAUAGAGAAGGACAGCAGCUCCUACUACCUGGACAUGGCCUUCUCCCCCAAAUCCAGCUCCUUCACGCUGGACGUCCACGGGGAGGCCGUCCAGCUGCUGCACCAGGACUUCCUGCACCGGAAUCAAGCACUGAAGGUCAGCGCCUUGAGCAUCAGCAAGUACGCAGGGGAGACGGACGCGAACCUUUCGCUGAGCCGAUGCGAGGAGACAGACAGACAAUUGGGGGUGUUCCUGGAGAACCUGCGAUCGCUGGAGAUCCUGCAGAUAUCCGACUGCGGCGAGUUCCGUGCAUUCCCGGAGGACGCCAUGCCGCCGUCGUUGAAAUACAUCGAGGUGAAUGGAUGCCACCCGACGCUCGCGGAGAAGCUGCGUGGGAGCGCUAGGAUCUGUUCCAUCCCCAGGGUACACAUUUGCUGA